CCUACGGGAGGCAGCAGUGAGGAAUAUUGGUCAAUGGGCGCAAGCCUGAACCAGCCAAGUAGCGUGAGGGAUGACUGCCCUACGGGUUGUAAACUUCUUUUAUAAGGGAAUAAUAAUGACUACGUGUAGUCAGUUGCAUGUACCUUAUGAAUAAGCAUCGGCUAACUCCGUGCCAGCAGCCGCGGUAAUACGGAGGAUGCGAGCGUUAUCCGGAUUUAUUGGGUUUAAAGGGAGCGUAGGCGGUAUUUUAAGCUAGUGGUAAAACGUCGGGGCUUCACCGUGAUUUGCAAUUAAAACUGGAGUACUAGAGUACAGAGGAGGUAGGCGGAAUUAGUUGAGUAGCGGUGAAAUGCUUAGAUAUGACGAAGAACCCCGAUAGCGAAGGCAGCUUACCAAACUGUAACUGACGCUGAUGCUCGAGAGCGUGGGUAUCGAACAGGAUUAGAUACCCGUGUAGUC
RNAcentral lists this ribosomal RNA (459 nucleotides) under uncultured bacterium. RNAcentral describes it as "partial 16S ribosomal RNA". It matches the Rfam family "Bacterial small subunit ribosomal RNA", at positions 338 to 795 of the family's 1533-position model. The record is from RNAcentral.